UGAUUGGCAUUCCGUUUCCAGUUGUGUGUUUCGUUUGACGUCUCAGCGUCUCUUUUUUAGUGUUUUGUUUCAGUGUGCGUUAGCCGAGCUACGAGUGCUCUGAUUCUUCUCUGGUUAGAGAAGAUACGUAUGCAUAGGAUGCGAUGUCCUAGAGAGCACGUUCCCCGAGUCCGCUUUCUUCCAUUUUUCAUCUGUGUUCUAU
RNAcentral lists this long non-coding RNA (202 nucleotides) under Lathyrus oleraceus (garden pea). Its description in RNAcentral is "Pisum sativum (pea) long non-coding RNA (PSAT_LNC020303)". The record is from RNAcentral. Lineage: Eukaryota; Viridiplantae; Streptophyta; Magnoliopsida; Fabales; Fabaceae.